AGUGUGUGUAUGGGGACAGUGUGUGUAUGGGGACAGUGUUUGUGGGGCAGUGUGUGUAUGGGGGGCAGUGUGUGUAUGGGGACAGUGCUUGUGGGGCAGUGUGUGUAGUGUGUGUAUGGGGACAGUGUUUGUGGGGCAGUGUGUGUAGUGUGUGUAUGGGGGGCAGUGUGUGUAUGGGGACAGUGUUUGUGGGGCAGUGGGUGUAGUGUGUGUAUGGGGGGCAGUGUGUGUAUGGGGACAGUGUGGGGCAGUGUGUGUAUGGGGACAGUGUUUGUGGGGCAGUGUGUGUAUGGGGGACAGUGUUUGUAUGGGGGAGGAGGAGGGUAGGGAGGUUUUUUAAUA
Pelobates cultripes (western spadefoot toad) is the source of this 342-nucleotide non-coding RNA. The record is from the annotation of a GenBank genome assembly. Lineage: Eukaryota; Metazoa; Chordata; Amphibia; Anura; Pelobatidae.